GCAAUCCAGACUAUACAUGCAAACGAGCGCUGACCCCUCUCUNNGGGGAGCCGGGCUGGGGAUGCGUGCAUUUAUCAGACCCAAAACCCNNNGGGUCUCGGCCCCUCGGCCGCUUUGUGACUUUUGAUAACCUUGGCCGAUCGCGCCUCCGCGGCGGUGACGNCUCAUUCGAAU
This 174-nucleotide ribosomal RNA is filed under the name Chaca sp. RNAcentral describes it as "partial 18S ribosomal RNA". The record is from RNAcentral. Lineage: Eukaryota; Metazoa; Chordata; Actinopteri; Siluriformes; Chacidae.